GGAGAGGUGGCAGAGUGGUCGAAUGCGCUGCACUCGAAAUGCAGUAUGCGGGCAACCGUAUCGAGGGUUCGAAUCCCUCCCUCUCCGCCA
This 90-nucleotide transfer RNA is filed under the name Aurantiacibacter sediminis. RNAcentral's name for it is "tRNA-Ser". It matches the Rfam family "tRNA". Rfam says of the family: Transfer RNA (tRNA) molecules are approximately 80 nucleotides in length. Their secondary structure includes four short double-helical elements and three loops (D, anti-codon, and T loops). The record is from RNAcentral. Lineage: Bacteria; Pseudomonadati; Pseudomonadota; Alphaproteobacteria; Sphingomonadales; Erythrobacteraceae. RNAcentral also lists the same sequence under 1 other name.